UCUUUGGGCCACUUCCGUGGCAUAUGGAGGUUCCCAGGCUAGGGGUUGAAUCGGAGCUGUAGCCACCGCCUACGCCAGAGCCACAGCAACGCAGGAUCCGAGCCGCUUUUGCAACCUACACCACAGCUCAGGGCAACGCCGGAUUGUUAACCCACUGAGCAAGGGCAGGGACCGAACCCACAACCUCAUGGUUCCUAGUCGGAUUCGGUAACCACUGCGCCACGACGGGAACUCCCUAUAUGUGUAUAUUUUAUAUAUAUAAUCUUUUUUUGAAUAUAAGAGUCAACAUUCUUUUGAAUAUUAUUUUGUACAUUUCAGUGCACUUUUUUGGAAAAUCAAGAUAAUGUUGAAAUUUCCUUUCAAAAAUAAAACCCAGCAGGUGUACAAAUAUACAGAAUAGAUGAAAGCAUAGCUUAUCUGGUUAAAGAGAUGAGGGAGCCAUGAGAGGAGCCUUAUUUUUCCCCCUACAUACGUUCUUCCCUAUCACUAAUUUUCUCUACUCCCCCCUCCACCAAACCUUCACUAUGGUCUGAGAAAACUUUCACAGUCCUAAUAGCUCUUGGGAACAAAAUGUGAAAAUGGCUACAGGGGAAUAUUCUGAAUGGAGAUGAUGAUGGAGAUGAGGAUGUAGCCAACAUUUACUGCGUGUUUACUGUGAGGCUUAUGGAGAAACUCCUUAAAAUAUUUCUGAUAGGUACACCAUCAGCCACAGCAGAUGAACCCAAACUAGGUUAUUUGAUAAUAAGCUGCAAAUUUGUUAGUGGAUGGAGACCUUGAGAAUACAACACAACAUAAGUACUGGCAGCAGAGGGGCCACUGGAAGCAAAGAGAGAGUGCCUGACUCAAAGGGCAGCAAGCAUCCCUUCAUCUGCUCACAUGUGCAUGCCGUAAAGAAUUCCUGAGUGCCUUCCAGAUGCCUAGGUAGUGGGGUCACCCAACACAGAGCUUGUAUUCUAAUAGACUUAGCAAGAAGCUCAAGUCUAUUGCAAACAAAUUACUUGUUUAGCUUUCUUUUUUUUUUUUUUUAAUUCUGGCCAAUACUGCUUCAGUGCAAACAAAUUAGUGAAGGCUACAGCAAACUCUCUAAAUUCCCUUUUAGUUGUAAGGACAUCAUUAUCAGCAAUUGAUAUUUACAACAACCAAGGUAAAGGGAGUGGGAAACCUGAGAAGUUGACACUCAAUUAGUAGAAAAGAAUUUAGAUAAUCUGAAGAAAAAUAAAAAUAUAUCUUUUAUCAGUGUCUAAAAAUUGUACUACAAAUGCUCAAUUAAGUUUUAUUAAACCUACAGAAUGGGACUGUCCAAAAAUCCAUAGACUUUUCUCCUCUAUUAAUCUUCCUAAGGUAGAGUAAUUUUUCUCCACAUAACAGAAGAGAAAAAUGAUACAAAGAGAAGCAUUUGUGUUUGUGCAAAUACAAAAUAAAAGGUUAUAUUUCAGGGCAUCACAUAGCACUUAAACAUUUUCACCGUAUUUUCACCCCAAACGAUCCUGAUCAUAUCAUUCCUCUCUUACUAAGAUGAAGUGGGGACACUUGUCUGUCAAUUUUCCCUGGCACUUGAUCUUAAGUCUCUGAUUCUUGUGUCAGGGCCUUUCCAAUGCAUUCAAAUUCUUGAGAAGAGAACACAACUGCCUGGACUCCUAGGGGAACUAUUUCUUACAUUAAGAAAAUUCCCUAACUUUCCUACUGGUCUUUUGGCUCUAGAAGUAUAGGAAAAGUGCUAAAAAGCAAAAGAAAAUCAGCCAAGGGCAGUUUCUUCACUCUACUCUGCUGAUGUGCCAAAUUGAUUCGGGGCAUGACUUUGAGCCCUCCCUGACCUACUCAGCUCAGUUUUGGUACUAAGAGCCUGUCAGACCCAGAGCAACAGAGAGCCCAGAUGAUCAGCAUCUAGGGAGUGGCUAAGGGUCUGGGAGGAAGUUUCGGCUCCCACAUCCAGGGCAUGCCCAUGAGAAACCCUGGCUACAAGCAUCUGAUCAUCUUUCUCUCUCUGAUGUCACCAAGCUUGUACUUCUGCAGCCAGUCCAUCCAACAGGACUUUUCCAUGGAUCUCAGGCCUUAACUCACUUCCACAUAGGACUGUAGCAUUAAUUAGUCCCUAGAACAUAGGUCAAGGGGUGAUAGCAUUAAUGUCCACACCUGGUUCUUUCGAGCCCCCUUUGCCAGAACUGACUCUGCUUCUGACAUGCCUUAUGUGGACUCUGCUGGACCUACUAAUUCUGAGCACUGAUACCUUACAACUGUACCUGACUAGCCUCAUACAGAGUUCCAGACUAGAUGUGAGUCCCCUGCUUCCCUGGAACUUGGUGAUUCAGACAGCUGAACAUUUUCUGGGUAGGUCAGCAUUUACUGUCCUCAGCUUUCAUGCACACAUACUGUCUUCUCCAUCCCCUCUCUUUCCACUGAGAGCUCCCAGCAUGUCACACAGCUAGACUCCUGCUAUUAUAAUACUGGACAGAGGGAUUACUCCUAUCUAGUUUCUUUUCUUUUCUUUUUUUCAGCCAUGCAAAAAAAAAAAAAAAAAAAGAAAAGCUGAAAAGGCAUGAAGAAGGUCCCAGGCCAUGGAUCAUAGAUCAAACAGGAGCCACAUCAGUAACCUGAGCCUCAGCAGUGACAAUGCUGAGUCCUUAACUGCUAGAUCACCAGGGAAUUCCUCCUAUCUAAUUUCUAUUAACUCUAAUGAAAAUUCAAAAGAAACAAUUCAGAUGCUCAGAAUGUUUUAAAACAAUGAAAUAUUCUCAGAAUGUAAGAAUCAAUAAGCAAAACAGUUGUGAAGCAUAUUUUCUAAAUUACCCAAAUGUUCAUCAGUAAAGAAGAAAAUAUUUUACUCUGGUUAUAAAUAAACUUUCAAUCUUAAACAGAUCUAUGUAUCAAAAGCUUACUAUUUGUCAAUUAUGUUCAAAUAGGAAAUAACCAAAUUGGUUCCUUAUCUCAAGAAAGUACUACAUUGUGAAAUCUCUCGGAUUAUUGCACAAGGCUUUUCAGUUCAAAAUAAUUAAGCAAUUCAACAGAUGAAGCCAAUGCUAUAACCUCUGCUAUAUUUUGAGACACACGUAUCAAGAUCUCCUACUACAGAAUCUAUUUGGGGGAAACGAUGUAGAGAUACUUUCCACAUCCCUCCUGUUAAGUACAACUAAAAGCACUGGGCAUUACAUAUAAAACAAACAUAGGAAGACUCUGAGAGGUGGAGAGAAGACAGACUAUCCGGAGAACCUGGAACUUAAGGAAUAACACAGAGGGUCCUUAAUAAGAUGUCGGACAGUGUUCUCGUCUUCACCAUGCUAAUAUCCAAGGACUCAAGAUACCAUCCAAAGAAAAGGAACUCCUGGGGAAAGCCAACAAUGUAAAAACUCUAAGAUUAUAUUUCUCAGUCUACAUCAGAGAAGAAGAAACCCUUGAAAGCUAGUGUGUUGAAAGAUCAAAACUACCACUUUUAAUAGAGUAAAAUGAAAAUUCCAGAAUCUUCUACAUAACUACUAGGUUUCACAAAUAAAAACUUUUCUUUAAAUGCUUCCCUUGAUUCCAACUUACAUAAUUACCCUAUUUUUUUAAGUAACUAAUACAUAGGUAAAGGGUAAAAAAAAAAAGAUGAGAAGUACAAAUGCUAUAUAAACAAUACUUCAAAAUGAAGUACCAAGGCCACUCAAUCAACCCACUUGGUAACUGUCUGAAAUGCAUUGCUCUCUGUCUCCCCGACCAUUCUGCACUGUAAGAGAUCAAAGAAUACAGCUGGAAGGAACAUCAAAUUCCUGAAGCCACACCUCCUGACCAGAUGCCUGAGGAACACAAAAUGAUGUC
Sus scrofa (pig) is the source of this 3792-nucleotide non-coding RNA. NCBI's taxonomy places the organism in Eukaryota, Metazoa, Chordata, Mammalia, Artiodactyla, Suidae. The record is from RefSeq and is a predicted model, not a curated record.